UUGCUUGCGAGUACUUUGGAUGAGUACUCACGGUUGCUUUCUCCCCCCCUUUUCCCCCUUUCCUUUCUUUCUGGUUGUCGCAACCAGAUGCUGGAGCCCAGGAGCCGGACGCCACCAUCGACGACGACUACUACACUGGAGGUGCCUACUACUACGUGCAGCCCGCUGACGACGACCAGGAGUAGUUUAGGAGGAUCCCAGGCAGGAGGCCUGCGCCUCUUUCGAUCUGUAUCCCAGUUUGUGCUAGCCUUCUUAAGGCAAACUUGUUUAACUUAUGUCUGUACUCAGAUAUUGUUGCUUCCGCUGACUCGUCUAUGAUCGAGCACUUGUAUUCGAGCCCUCGAGGCCCCUGGCUUGUAUUAUGAUGCUUGUAUGACUUAUUUAUGUUUUAGAGUUGUGUUGUGAUAUCUUCCCGUGAGUCCCUGAUCUUGAUCGUACACGUUUGCGUGCAUGAUUAGUGUACGAUUGAAUCGGGGGCGUCACAAGUUGGUAUCAGAGCUGACUGCCUGUAGGACUCCCCCUUCCACACUCCUUGGCCGAAGUCGAGUCUAGACAUUGUAAAAACUUUUACUAACUUGGCUGUGUGCCUUACGGGUCCACGUCGCCAUCGGGUGGUAUUAGGAUCUUUUACUCCUCGAUCUUUACUCUGGGACUCUGACCUCUCUUCUAUUCGGGUUAAAUGAAUUUUACUAAAGCUAACUCUAGGUUCUCGAUAAUACUUUCUCCCGGAGAGCUCCUUCAGUCCAGAUGAUCGCCGGCUGCACCAGAAGAUUUCGAAGAUACUCUCCGAUUUUCUCUCGAGACCUUGUGCCCGUUGCUUUUGCAAUUCCCUUCCACCGAAAUAUCCCUAUGGAUAAAUACUUACACAUGUCGUGCUUACCUUUAUUCCCAGUUGAUCUUGUUAUUACAAGAUACCUCGAAAUUCUCUUUAAUGUUCCGAGAAUACUUUGUGCCUACUGCCUAGCAGUUCUUUGCUACACGAAUACCACUACGGAUAAUUUCUCGCACUUACCGAGUAUCCACUCAUCCCCAGUUGAUUCAUGUAUGUCACCAAUCCUCGAAAUAUCAUUCGAUCUUCCCAAAAUCUUGAGCAUCCUAUUGCUCUCGAAAUUCUUGAUUGCUUGCAUUAUGGUUAAUCCCAUAAGUCUAGUAAUCUUGUUGACAUCCAUUGUCAUUGUCAUUUUGAGUCCGUUGAUUCGAUUUGUUGCGAAAGCUCGCAAUCCUCAAUCAGAUCCUAGAAUUCAUCCUUCCGGCUCAAACGUCGUUUUAAUCAUGAGAUGGUUCUCGUCAGUUAAAUUGUCGUCGAUUGUGCCCCUAAGUCUAUUGAACUUAUCCAUCCUUGAUCAGAACGUCUGCUUCUGAUCCUUCGCUUUGUAAAUCUUAAUUCCUUAGCAAUUGAGCUCUAAGUUAUUCAGUUGUUUCUAUAAUCCAAUGUCUUUGCCUUGCUUCUUCCUCUGGUUGUGUGUCGAUACUCACCCCCAGAUCCUUUGUUGGAUUUUAUCCGACAAUGUCCUUCAUUUGGAUAUAUACCGCAUUUGGUAAAUUGUAUCCUCUGCUUUGUCAACCAUGCUCUGCUAUCGAGCUUGUGUCAUUUACUCCUGAAGUUUGUGGUAUAUGUUCCUAAGAGGCCCUGAUGGGUUGGACACCUGCCUUCUCUAAACUGUGUGAACCCGGAAACUACCAUGGGUCAUACUCUGCUAGUGUUAUGUCAGAUAGAAUUUCAACACACAAUUUCGUUGAAGGCGAGAAGUGAAUGAAAGGUUAUGCAUUAAAGAAGUGGGAGUCGACCUUGAACUUUGUGUUCAUGCCCAUGGACACGAUGUAGAUCUUAUCAUUAAAAGCUUCUCUUAAAUUAAUUAUUCCCUUGGUAUAAGUUCAUCUUAUAUCUGGGAUCUGGCCUUUUGCAAUCGUGGUUCCGACCAUAUGUUCUUCCUUGAUCCCAUUUCUUGGGCAAGUUUAAACACUUGUCCUCUGCAAAGCAAUACCCCAGACCAACCUCUACUUUGGUCUGUCGUCGAGUAACCCCUGGUAUCUCGAGGAUAUCACGCCAUUGCACUACCUUACCCUGUCCUUUGAUGGAGUACUACCUUUACCCUGUCUUUGUCACUUCAUGCUUCUGGGUUGUUUGUUAACCGAGAACACCGAUAAGUGAAUCGAUUCAGCACUCCGAUUCAAUAACUCUAAGUAAUUUUUUGUUGCUUACGAGUUUAAUAAUCCUUUAGGUCAUUCCUAUCCUGAUCAGCUAUAUCAUCAUCAUACUAAUUUUUUUUAACUAUGCUACCUGGUCCUUAUUCCCGGAGCACAACUUUCAACGAUGAACUAGCUUGCGUCGAUUUUCGUCGUCAUAUCAUUUCUCCUUGAACAACAAACUUGAAUUCGAGUUUGUGUCCUAACCGUGGUUCCAAUAAUCUUUCGCUUCAUCAUUCGUUUGACUUGAUGUCAUCGUCGAUCGAUUACAUCUUCGUGUAACCUCUCGACAAAUGUGUCGUGAUCAUCAUCAACCUUAUGAGCUCUUCCAAGAUGUCAAUCGGAUUCAUGAUGAGAAAUACCAUCCUUGCCUCGAUGAUUUGUGUUAUCAUCAACCACUUUAUUGCCUUCCCUCCAACACAAACUUGUUCGUGUUUUGUGUUAUACCUUGAGUUCCUUGCUACCCAGCAUUGUUCUUCUUUACAUUGGAAUAUUACCACCUUUUAUGUUAAGAAUGUCGUGAGAAUUUCACCACCUCUUAAGAAAUUCUUGUUGCAGCGAUGCUUCUCGCCAUCACCAUUCUUUCUUGAUCCCCGUGUUGGUUCUAACCAGGAUACCAACAGAUGAACGGUGCUAUUUGGAUUCUGCCCUUCUAGCAACCCUAUUGCUUUGAAGUUAAUGGUUGGCCGUUCAUUCUUAGACAUUUGAUUAUUGAAUCACCAUUCCGACGUUGGUUGAGCAACCCAGCCCAUAUUUCGGGUGCACCUUUCAACCAAUGUUUAAUUGUGUAUGUUUUCCUCGAGCAUACAUCAUUAUACCAUUUGAUCUGACAAAUGUUAUCUCCUUGUUCACAUAAUUGUGGAAAUCCAUCUUUUGUUAAUCUCGAUGAAUUGUCGCUGAUUCCAUCAGCCACCUCCUCAUCCUCUUGUUGGUUUACCGAUGAACUCUUGUUUCGGAACUGGCUUCCAUGGUUCAUCUCCCGAGAAUCUUCGAUGUCAUCUCGUCAAUUUGUAUCACACCUUUUCUCCUCAAGCAUCAUGAGUUUGAGGUAUCCUAACACCGAUCAGAUCUGAAUCUCGGUCAGAUAUGAUGGUUGGAACAUUUUUCCAAGAGUUAUAACACUGGUCUUUUAUGACCCGGUAAGGUGAUGGCAUGCCCAGCACACCUGGCCGGAUGACCUGCUGUUAUAGUUUCCUUAUUAGCAAGGUUAUCCAUCCUUCCAUGAGGAAAUUGUAAGAUUUAUUCUACAAGUUGUUCCUGAUGGGCCCUUCCUGUAUCCAAAGUCUGACCUUUGCUUGAAGACCAUGUCAAUACUAUCUCGAAGCAUGUCUGUGGUACUCCGAUUUUCAACAAGAACAUUUGAAGCCCAAUGCUAAAUGUUUCCUGCUCAAUUAUCCAAACACCGCUGUAUGAGUAAUGUCAUGAAAUUCCUCUCCCCUUACAUAAAUGGUUUUCUACUUUCUAUCCUGUCAUGGAUAUCAUGCUCUGUUUGUCCUUGGGAAGGAUAUACCCCUGAAAUAUGAGUUUAAACACAUUCUUCCUUUCCAUUGUUUGUUUAAUCUGAAAGUAAUAUUUCCUUCCUAUUGGUUUGUUUAACCUUUCUCGUGAUCUAUAUGAUCUCAGCAGUAAUAAUUCACUACUUAUGUAGACACCUCGGAGUACAACUUUGUCAGUGAAACCCUGUUUCUACUGUUGAUGACAUUCCGGUAACCACCGAUGGACGAGAACUUUGCCUCUUGGCCCGCCUCAUUUCAACGAGCAGAAAAAUGGUUCUCUUCAUCCCUUGCCCUUGGUACCGAUGUUGUUGCCGACAUACCCGACAAGCUAUUCACUGACAUGCCUCCCUAACGCGGCUGUACAAGAUGUCACCAACCUUCCUACUUUCAACCCACAUGGUGGGCCCAUAACCCACAGGUCCACUGGAUCGAAACCUGACUCUUCUUUACAACCUGAAUUCUAAUGUAUCUUUGCACCUGGCUUCGUAUGUGAUUCACGAGCUAAAUGUUAUACCAUUGAACAUCCUGGAGCCAAACACCAUGUUAUUCUCGUUGUUCAAACCCCCAUUCCAGCUUCUGUCUAGUCGUUGAAUGAUUGCCUACCCGUUUGAAACUUUGGUACAAUCGUAUAUUGCACUCAACGAGUUCACUGAAAUACAACUCGUGGGGUACCUUAUGUAUUUCCCAUUGAGUUCACCGUCAGAUGCCCAGCUUUGUGCAAAUGCAUUCUUUCGGAGUUUUUCCCCUUGGUCGCGUUCGUAGGACAAUGGAGGUCCCGAAGAAAGGAUGACUACUUGAUCAUGGUGACUUGAAGCAGAGAAAUGAAGACAUCAAUGAAAGGGAUCAACCUCUUCGAAAGGGCAGCCAAGACCGACAAUACUCGUUAGGUUUUUCGCUACCAGCACCUCCCCCCUUACUCCAACACUUAAAUCUCGGGACGAGAUUUCUUGUAGUGAAGGAGAAUUGUGACGCCCGGGUAAUUAAGCUACAUUAACCCCCUCGUAAUGAUGCCACAUCACCUCAGUUACUAAUGAUAAACUCGCGUUGAUUAGAAACCAAUUCAAAUUCAAAUUUAAAUUCAGCAAACAAUCAAAGUUUUCAAAACAUUAAAACAAAAAUGUUCGGUGUGUGACAAAUAUUGCUAUGGUAAUUAUAGUAAAGAAAACAUAAUUUUACAAGGUGCCUAAUUGCUUUAAACUAAAUAAAACAGAAAAGAGAAAUAACUAAAAGAAGAGAAAAACUAAAACUAAAAAAAGAGAGGAGAAAAGCAAUCAACCCCCACUAGGCUUCGGCCCAGCAGGCCGGACCCAACUGGCCCAACCGGCCACUCCCCCCACUCCUCCUUAUCCCCUCACCCACCGAAACCCUAACCCACUACCACCACUCACUCGCCUUUCCCCUCCCCCGAUCUGGAUCGAGAUCUGGGCGUGGACUCGAAGCCGCCCGAUGCCACCCCACUGUGGUCGCCGUCACCUCGCCGCCCGGCGCCGCCCGGAGCGUCCUUGCCGGCCUGCCUCCUCCUCCACGCCGGCCUGCUUCCUCGUUGGACGUCGUCCCCGUCCUCCCCCUCAACAACCGCUGCCCUUGUCCCUGCACACCAUCGUGAGCUCCCUCCCUUCCCCUUUGUCAUCGGCGCCUUCCACAGCACGCAUGCACGCACCGCCCCGCACGCAACCGAGCCUCACCUAGUCGCACCUCGCCCCAGAGGCGCCCUGCCGCGCCGGACCGCCCCGCCCCCGCCUCUCCUUCCCCGACCGGCUCCACCACCGGACUUCGUCGAGCUUCGCCGCCCUCGUGCCCCUACAAACGCCCGUGAACACGUUGCCUGCUUUCCCCUUCUUCCCCCAGGUCGCCGUGGUCCCCACCGAUCUCGCCCGCGGUUGACGCGCUCCGGUCGCAUCCGUUGCGCGCUCACUGCGCCACUUCUGCGGCCCCUCACAGUCGCCCGGAGCGCCCCUACUCGCCCUUCGACUACUCCGCCCUCUGUCGCGGCCACCGCCUGCCUGCACCGCGUCCGUGCCGUCUGCUCCUGCUCUGCGGCCCAGCCGUGUGUGCUCGAGUACCCCGGCGCCCGCGCCUCGCCCGGUCACGCCACCUUCGUACGCGCUCGUUGCGUGCUCUCGCAGCUGCGGCCCUGCUCGCGGGCUGCGCCCGGGGCAGCCCUCGCCUGCACACCCGUCGCCCGUUAUCGCCCCGCCCCAUUAGGCCCCUGGAGCCACUGGUGGUUGGGCCCCGCCCUGUGUGCCAAUGACACAUGGGGCCCGCCCCUGUUAAAAUGAAAACAAAAAUAUAAAUGUAAAAAAAAGGGAUGUUUAAAAUUGUUAAUUAAUUAAUUAGUUAAUUAAUUAGAUAAUUAGUUAAUUAACUUUGAUUAACUUUGAUUAAUUAGCCUAAUGAACAUAUUUAGUCUAAUUAAACCUGCUUAAUUAAACUAGACAAUGACACUUGGGCUCCACUGCCCCUUUGACCAGUCAACCCGGUCAAAGUUGACUGUUGACCCUGCUGACGUCUUGAUGACAUCAUGCUGAUGCAGUAAUGCCAUUUUCGAAUUUAUUUUUUUAUAAUGAUUUAUAAAUUGAUUUAAGUCUUUAAUAAUGAAUAUAAAAUAAACCGUAACUCGGAUGAAAAUACUUUAUACAUAAAAGUUGCUCAGAACGAUGAGACGAAUCCGGAUACGCAGCCCGUUCGUCCGCCACACACCCCUAGCAUACCGAACACGCAACUUUCCCCCUCCGGCUCCUCUGCCCGAAAACGCGAAACACCGGGAAUACUUUCCCGGAUGUUUCCCCCCUUCGUCGGUAUCACCUACUACCGCGAUUGGGCACACCUAGCAUCGUUACUUGUCAUGUCAUGCAUCGAUAUGCAUUUGUUUGCAUUGUAUUCAUUGUUUCUUCCCCCUCUUCUCUCCGGUAGACCACGAGACCGACGCUCCUGCUGCCCAGUACGACUACGGAGUUGAGGACCCCUCUCUCUUGCCAGAGCAACCAGGCAAGCCCCCCCUUGAUCACCAGAUAUCGCCUACUCUUCUCUAUACUGCUUGCAUUAGAGUAGUGUAGCAUGUUACUGCUUUCCGUUAAUCCUAUUCUGAUGCAUAGCCUGACAUUGUUGCUACAUCUGUUGAUACCUUACCUGCAAUCCUAAAUACUUAGUAUAGGAUGCUAGUUUAUCAUCAUUGGCCCUACAUUCUUGUCAGUCUGCCUUGCUAUACUAUUGGGCCGUGAUCACUCGGGAGGCGAUCACGGGUAUAUAGUAUACAUACAUACAUACUAUACAGAUGGUAACUAAAGUCGGGUCAGCUCGAAGAGUACCCGCGAGUGAUUCACGGAUUGGGGGCUGAAAGGACCUUUGUCCCGACGGCCCUCUGUGUGGAUCUUUGUGGCGGAGCGACAGGGUAGGUUGAGACCGCCUAGGAGAGAGGUGGGCCUGGCCCUGUUCGGCGUUCGCGGAUACUUAACACGCUUAACGAGAUCUUGGUAUUUGAUCUGAGUUGGCUACGAGCCUAUACGCACUAACCAUCUACGCGGGAGUAGUUAUGGGUAUCCCGGCGUCGUGGUAUCAGCCGAAGCACUUCAGACGUCAGCGACGGAGCGGCGCGCGCCGGAUUGGAACGUAAGCCUGCUCUUGUAUUAAGGGGGCUAGUUCUGCUUCCGGCCGCCCACGCAACGUGCAGGUGUGCUAUGGGCGAUGGGCCCAGACCCCUGUGCGCUUAGGUUUAGACCGGCGUGCUGGCCUCUCUGUUUUGCCUAGGUGGGGCUGCAACGUGUUGAUCUUCCGCGGCCGGGCAUGACCCAGGAAAGUGUGUCCGGCCAAAUGGUAUCAAACGUGUUGGGUUAUGUGGUGCACCCCUGUAGGGAAGUUAAUCUAUUCGAAUAGCCGUGAUCUUCGGUAACAGGACGACUUGGAGUUGUACCUUGACCUUAUGACAACUAGAACCGGAUACUUAAUAAAACACACCCUUCCAAGUUCCACAGACAACCCGGUGAUCACUUUUCUACAGGGAGUCGAGGAGAGGAUCGCCGGGUAGGAUUAUGCUAUGCGAUGCUACUGGAGAUGCUACUUGGAGAUACUACUUGGAGAUGCUACUUGGAGAUGCUACUUGAAGGACUGCAAUCUACUCUCUUCUACAUGCUGCAAGACGGAGGCUCCCAGAAGCGUAGUCUUUGAUAGGACUAGCUAUCCCCCUCUUAUUCUGGCAUUCUGCAGUUCAGUCCACUGAUAUGGCCUCCUUACACAUAUACCCAUGCAUAUGUAGUGUAGCUCCUUGCUUGCGAGUACUUUGGAUGAGUACUCACGGUUGCUUUCUCCCCCCCUUUUCCCCCUUUCCUUUCUUUCUAGUUGUCGCAACCAGAUGCUGGAGCCCAGGAGCCGGACGCCACUGUCGACGACGACUACUACACUGGAGGUGCCUACUACUAUGUGCAGCCCGCUGACGACGACCAGGAGUAGUUUAGGAGGAUCCCAGGCAGGAG
This 8152-nucleotide long non-coding RNA is filed under the name Triticum aestivum (bread wheat). RNAcentral's name for it is "long non-coding RNA (TAES_LNC020651)". The record is from RNAcentral. Lineage: Eukaryota; Viridiplantae; Streptophyta; Magnoliopsida; Poales; Poaceae.